RNAcentral lists this ribosomal RNA (441 nucleotides) under uncultured bacterium. RNAcentral's name for it is "partial 16S ribosomal RNA". It matches the Rfam family "Bacterial small subunit ribosomal RNA", at positions 338 to 795 of the family's 1533-position model. The record is from RNAcentral.
CCUACGGGAGGCAGCAGUGGGGGAUAUUGCACAAUGGGGGAAACCCUGAUGCAGCGACGCCGCGUGGGUGAAGAAGUAUUUCGGUAUGUAAAGCCCUAUCAGCAGGGAAGAAAGAAGACGGUACCUGACUAAGAAGCCCCGGCUAACUACGUGCCAGCAGCCGCGGUAAUACGUAGGGGGCGAGCGUUAUCCGGAUUCACUGGGUGUAAAGGGAGCGUAGACGGCCGUGCAAGCCAGGAGUGAAAGCCCGGGGCCCAACCCCGGGACUGCUCUUUGAACUGUGCGGCUGGAGUGCGGGAGGGGCAGGCGGAAUUCCUGGUGUAGCGGUGAAAUGCGUAGAUAUCAGGAGGAACACCGGCGGCGAAGGCGGCCUGCUGGACCGCGACUGACGUUGAGGCUCGAAAGCGUGGGGAGCGAACAGGAUUAGAUACCCUAGUAGUC